AACGAACGCUGGCGGCAUGCCUAACACAUGCAAGUCGAACGAGACCUUCGGGUCUAGUGGCGCACGGGUGCGUAACGCGUGGGAACCUGCCCUUAGGUUCGGAAUAACUCCCCGAAAGGGGUGCUAAUACCGGAUAAUGUCUUCGGACCAAAGAUUUAUCGCCUUUGGAUGGGCCCGCGUUGGAUUAGCUAGUUGGUAGGGUAAAAGCCUACCAAGGCGACGAUCCAUAGCUGGUCUGAGAGGAUGAUCAGCCACACUGGGACUGAGACACGGCCCAGACUCCUACGGGAGGCAGCAGUGGGGAAUAUUGGACAAUGGGCGAAAGCAUGAUCCAGCAAUGCCGCGUGAGUGAUGAAGGCCUUAGGGUUGUAAAGCGCUUUUACCCGGGAUGAUAAUCACAGUACCGGGAGAAUAAGCUCCGGCUAACUCCGUG
This 433-nucleotide ribosomal RNA is filed under the name uncultured bacterium. RNAcentral's name for it is "partial 16S ribosomal RNA". It matches the Rfam family "Bacterial small subunit ribosomal RNA", at positions 29 to 507 of the family's 1533-position model. The record is from RNAcentral.